This 466-nucleotide ribosomal RNA is filed under the name uncultured bacterium. Its description in RNAcentral is "partial 16S ribosomal RNA". It matches the Rfam family "Bacterial small subunit ribosomal RNA", at positions 28 to 507 of the family's 1533-position model. The record is from RNAcentral.
GACGAACGCUGGCGGCGUGCUUAACACAUGCCAGUCGAACGGAAAGGCCCUGCUUUUGUGGGGUGCUCGAGUGGCGAACGGGAGUAACACGUGAGUAACCUGCCCUUGACUUUGGGAUAACUUCAGGAAACUGGGGCUAAUACCGGAUAGGAGCUCCUGCUGCAUGGUGGGGGUUGGAAAGUUUCGGCGGUUGGGGAUGGACUCGCGGCUUAUCAGCUUGUUGGUGGGGUAGUGGCUUACCAAGGCUUUGACGGGUAGCCGGCCUGAGAGGGUGACCGGCCACAUUGGGACUGAGAUACGGCCCAGACUCCUACGGGAGGCAGCAGUGGGGAAUAUUGCACAAUGGGCGGAAGCCUGAUGCAGCAACGCCGCGUGCGGGAUGACGGCCUUCGGGUUGUAAACCGCUUUCGCCUGUGACGAAGCGUGAGUGACGGUAAUGGGUAAAGAAGCACCGGCUAACUACGUG